This 497-nucleotide ribosomal RNA is filed under the name uncultured bacterium. RNAcentral describes it as "partial 16S ribosomal RNA". It matches the Rfam family "Bacterial small subunit ribosomal RNA", at positions 28 to 507 of the family's 1533-position model. The record is from RNAcentral.
GAUGAACGCUGGCGGCGUGCCUAAUACAUGCAAGUCGAGCGGACAGAUGAGGAGCUUGCUCCUCUGACGUUAGCGGCGGACGGGUGAGUAACACGUGGAUAACCUACCUAUAAGACUGGGAUAACUUCGGGAAACCGGAGCUAAUACCGGAUAAUAUAUUGAACCGCAUGGUUCAAUAGUGAAAGACGGUUUUGCUGUCACUUAUAGAUGGAUCCGCGCCGCAUUAGCUAGUUGGUAAGGUAACGGCUUACCAAGGCGACGAUGCGUAGCCGACCUGAGAGGGUGACCCGCCACACUGGAACUGAGACACGGUCCAGACUCCUACGGGAGGCAGCAGUGGGGAAUCUUCCGCAAUGGGCGAAAGCCUGACGGAGCAACGCCGCGUGAGUGAUGAAGGCCUUCGGAUCGUAAAACUCUGUUAUUAGGGAAGAACAAAUGUGUAAGUAACCAUGCACGUAUUGACGGUACCUAAUCAGAAAGCCACGGCUAACUACGUG